RNAcentral lists this long non-coding RNA (2162 nucleotides) under Mus musculus (house mouse). RNAcentral describes it as "long non-coding RNA chr14:60409933-60412095". Lineage: Eukaryota; Metazoa; Chordata; Mammalia; Rodentia; Muridae. The record is from RNAcentral.
GUGUUCCUGUCUUGCCUCUGGAAGAUGCACUCUGCUUUGAUGCCCUGAGGGUAGCAUUGUGUAAGCUCAGCCCCCAGCAGCUGACAAUUUUCACGAAUUGUUUACAGUGCUCUGAUUUUUACACUCCCUUAAAGGAUCUGUGUGCAUGCUGAUUGCGGAAGGUAAUAUUUCCAGCAUCAGUAACCAUGGUAAUGAAUCAUCCUUCUCAGAAUGAGUGCCAGCUGCAGGAGUGUCUAGCUAGUAGCACCCCGGUGUUCUGCUAAUGAGUGGUUUCAUUAGCUAUAGAAGGAAGGGCAUUUCCACUUCUUCACAUCUUUGCAUGUUCUGCUAAAGGCUCCUCCUUGGGAGCAACAUUUGAAAAAAAAAAUAAUCUCAUUUGGCAAAACCUCAAUCCCCAAAGGAAAGCAUUCCUCAGUCCAGAAAGUGGAGCGUGUAGGAGCACCUUUGAUGCUUGUGCUGGCUGGCCCACGCACCCACGCAUCCAUGCAUCCUUAUUGCCGCUUUCCUUUCUCUGUAGAAAACACUCCAUCAGCAUUCCUCUUUGACGGUAUUGGAGUUUAAAUAUUUUAAAGACUUAUGCUGUGAAUAAUUUAAGAUAAAUAAAGCAAGCCUCUAAACUCCCUUUGAAUUAUGUAACGGGAGCUUUGAAGUGUGUUAGCACUCUGUCUUACCAGAUUUGAAUUUUUUUUCUUCCUCCCGUGAAGAGUGAAGUGGGAACGAAAGUCACUGUUGUCCUUUAUCUGAUGAGGAGUCGAGUUACUGAGCAUCUGAGCAUCACAGAGAUAGGAGCCUGACAUAACGGACACUACUCCAUCUGUGCGGGAGAAGACCCCACGCCACUCCUGCCAGGACCACGGGGAGGAAGGAAACUCGACAUCCAGAGCCAUGAUGGGCAUCGUCACAUAGAUGUGCCCAUAGGAAGGCUGAAGGAAGGUGCUUUCUCUGCCACCAUGCACUGUGUGUUCAUUUCCUUUAACCUUCCGAGGACUGUGAUAUAGGCAUUGUUUCCAUCCCACAGGUGAGAAGACUGAGGCCCAGAGGUUAUGGAACAGUUCUGGGUUGUAAAUGGCAGAGGCAGAUGGCCUACCUGGAGGAUCUAAGCAGAGCCUUCCUUGUAACCCCUCAUGCCAUCAUGGAAGAAAGCUCAAGGGAGGGCAAAGGGUUUUUUUGUUUGUUUGGUUGGUUGGUUGGUUGGUUUGUUUUGUUUUUUUAAGUUAUUACAUUUUCUUCUUCUAUUUAAAUUUGCUUUAAUUGUUUUUGUUUGUUUGUUUGUUUGUUUUGUUUUUGGGCCAGGCUGGGUGGUUGUAGGUUUAUGGGUACGUCUGUACCAUGCCGUACAAGUAGAAUUGAGAGAACAAUGUGUAGAAAUCUGUUCUCUCUUUCCAACAUGUGGGUCCCUGUGAUACCACCCAGGUCAUGAGGCUUGACUUGGCAUCGAAUGCUUUAACCAGCUGAGCCAUCUGCUAGCCUCAGGGCACAGUUUCCAAUCUCGGCUGGGCUUCUGCCAUUUGUCUCGUACACAUUUCUUUCUCUUCCUGCAUUUCAAAUAACACCUGCUUCACAGAGAACAUGGGAGGAGCACAGGAGAAGAUGUACAUGGGAGCCUAUUGCACCUGCUUCACAGAGUAGCGGGGGGACUGCAUUAGAAGAUGCACCUGUGAGCUGCCUAUGCAGACCAGUGAGUGUGUGGAGAUGGCAGCCACAACUGUUGCUGGAGAAACAGGGGCAAUAACAAAACUGCAGAUCCUCUGGAAGCUUAGAUUAGUGCUUAUAAAGUUAUCCACAUUUCUCAGAAUUAUAUUAUCAGGAAUGCACGCAUUUCAAAUGAUUCAUAUUUAACUAGAUUACACACUUAAAUCACUUGCUCAAGAGCAACCCCGAGACACCGUUUUAUUUUGAGGAGUUUCUCGUUGACAUUUUUUGCCCUUGCUUUUAUUUUUGAGACAACAUCCCAUGUAUCCCAGACUGCCCUGGAUUCUGCUGCUUCUUCCCAAGGACUUUAAGGCAUGUCACACCAUACUCAACUCUAACGUUGCUAUUGAAAAAUAAGCAUCCUUCUCAAAGAGCUGAACAUAUGUCACCGAAGGGAAUCAAACAUUAAGGCCUUUAUAUUGCUUUCUAAACAACUCAGAGAGAGACUAAAACGAUCAACAAAACCUGGU